This 505-nucleotide ribosomal RNA is filed under the name uncultured bacterium. Its description in RNAcentral is "bacterial LSU rRNA". It matches the Rfam family "Bacterial large subunit ribosomal RNA", at positions 153 to 701 of the family's 2925-position model. The record is from RNAcentral.
CUUGGCUGAAUAUAUAGGCUAAGUGUAGCGAACCUGGAGAACUGAAACAUCUAAGUACCCAGAGGAAAAGAAAUCAACCGAGAUUCCCAAAGUAGUGGCGAGCGAACUGGGAUCAGCCUUCAAUAUUUAAUAUUUGAAUUAGUCAAAUUUUCUGGAAAGUUAAACCGUAGUGGGUGAUAGUCCCGUAGGCGAAAAUUCAAAUAUAGAACUAAGAUUGAGAUAAGUAGGGCGGGACACGUGAAAUCCUGUUUGAAGAUAGGGGGACCAUCCUCUAAGGCUAAAUACUCGUAAUCGACCGAUAGUGAACCAGUACCGUGAGGGAAAGGCGAAAAGAACCCCGGAAGGGGAGUGAAAUAGAUCCUGAAACCGCAUGCAUACAAACAGUGGGAGCCCGCAAGGGUGACUGCGUACCUUUUUGUAUAAUGGGUCAGCGACUUACAUUCAGUAGCAAGCUUAACCGAAUAGGGAGGCGCAGCGAAAGACGAGUCUUAAUAGGGCGAUAGUU